Molecule: ribosomal RNA, 625 nt
Filed under: Bradyrhizobium japonicum
Lineage: Bacteria; Pseudomonadati; Pseudomonadota; Alphaproteobacteria; Hyphomicrobiales; Nitrobacteraceae
Description: bacterial SSU rRNA
Rfam family: Bacterial small subunit ribosomal RNA
Source: RNAcentral
AAGUCGAGCGGGCGUAGCAAUACGUCAGCGGCAGACGGGUGAGUAACGCGUGGGAACGUACCUUUUGGUUCGGAACAACACAGGGAAACUUGUGCUAAUACCGGAUAAGCCCUUACGGGGAAAGAUUUAUCGCCGAAAGAUCGGCCCGCGUCUGAUUAGCUAGUUGGUAGGGUAACGGCCUACCAAGGCGACGAUCAGUAGCUGGUCUGAGAGGAUGAUCAGCCACAUUGGGACUGAGACACGGCCCAAACUCCUACGGGAGGCAGCAGUGGGGAAUAUUGGACAAUGGGGGCAACCCUGAUCCAGCCAUGCCGCGUGAGUGAUGAAGGCCCUAGGGUUGUAAAGCUCUUUUGUGCGGGAAGAUAAUGACGGUACCGCAAGAAUAAGCCCCGGCUAACUUCGUGCCAGCAGCCGCGGUAAUACGAAGGGGGCUAGCGUUGCUCGGAAUCACUGGGCGUAAAGGGUGCGUAGGCGGGUCUUUAAGUCAGGGGUGAAAUCCUGGAGCUCAACUCCAGAACUGCCUUUGAUACUGAAGAUCUUGAGUUCGGGAGAGGUGAGUGGAACUGCGAGUGUAGAGGUGAAAUUCGUAGAUAUUCGCAAGAACACCAGUGGCGAAGGCGGCUCA